GGGAAGUCACUGGUAGAAGCCAGUACACGGAGGAGCAAAGUAGGGGAAUCUCGAAGGAAGGGGUACAAGGUUCGAAUGGGCGGGAGACAUUCCAAUGUCUCGUGGCAAGCUUGCCGCUUGCCUGCUUUGCUUUGCUUUGCUCGCUCGUCUCUUGCUCGUAUACCAAGAUAUCAUCGUCCUAAACCCAGCCCACGCUAUGUCGAAUGCCACACGAGCGAACAUCCUACUCUCCUCGUAAUCAAUUUUAAUAAGUACAAUAACAAACAUACGUAUCACAGGAACCCUCUAACUCUGACACGAGUCACGAAAUAACGUCAAGGUUAAGUUGGGUCUCGUCAUUUUUUAGCUAAUUCCGCGAAAUUAGAAGAAAAUAGUGUUUUAAUUUUAGCACGUUGAAGAAUGUCAUUUUUGUCAGUGGAAUAAAUAUACGUUACAUCAGGUUCGUAAGGCCCUCUGUCAGCUGAAAAAUGGCGGCGACCAAUCAGAAUGGGGCAAAGUUAUUUCGCGACUGAUUAGAGGGUCUCUAAAGUGAACUACCCCUGGCUAGAGCAAAUAGGUUCAUGAAAAAUCUUAUGUAGCGCUCGGUCGUCACGAAAUCCCUACUUAUCUGGCCAUGACGAGCGACGAGUGUGGAGUGUCCCAAGUAGGGACACCAGUAGAGUAAUGGAGGAGUGGGAAUCCCCACUCCUUAAACGCUGUCGAGCUGGCGAAGUGAAUAGAAAUCGCGGCACUGUUCAACGGGGGUUCCCAAGUGGAAUGGUUACUAGCGUCAGUCGACUGAUGUCAGUCAUCAUUGCACGUGGAAUUUCUCUUUUCGUUACAUUCCCAUGGAAAAACUACUGACGCAAAUGGCGCUGGCGUUUCAGAUUGUCGAUGGGACAAAUUUGAACAUGUACAAACUAUGAGACUUCGUAUUGUCAUCUUCGAGUUCUGCAGGCUUGGAAGCUGAAAUUAGCGAACUACUCGUGGACUGGCGCCAGUUCACCGAUGACGCCAGUAACCCCAUUCGACCAGGGAAUCCCGCUGAACAGUGCCAUGGUUCCUAUUCAUUCUGUCAGUUCACCAGUAUCGAGAGAGUGGGAAUCCCCACUCCUCUGGUGUCCCUACCUGGCACUCGUCAAUGCCAGAGUAGGGAUUUCGUGAUGGCUGAGUAUUACAUAAGAUUUUUCAUGAAUCGAUUUUACUCUACGGCAGCCAAAGAAGUUUCACUUCAAACAGGGUUCAAAUAAAAGUUGUGCAUAUCAUUUAUAUCAAUUUACCAGGCACAGAUUUCUACAAUUUUCUGGUUAAUCUCCUAUCAACUCGUCUAUCAAAAAAUGAAUUAUUUCUUGGUUGUAAUUAAUCGUGCUAGGACAACGUUAGCGUUAGAGAUUUAGGUAUAGUACAGAUACGACUGUGUUUUUCUGUUUGAAACUUGGAAGGAAAUUUUUGGCCACCCUAAUAGAAGCGCGAUACAAACGAAGUUUUACAUCAGAGUGCAGAGCAACAACAAGAUACGAGGGAAAGAGGAACGAAGACAGAGAGAGGGGUGGAGUGAGGGACAUUUGCAUAGGAAUGCAAGACUGCUCGAGCCAGUGCUUACGAGUGCGUGGCACGUAUGAAUGUACCAACGCGUGAAGGUUCCAAGGAAGGAAGCUAGCACACGCAUUUCCUUGUGACAAGUCCUCGAAUAAUGCGACUCCUGUUUUAUCGAAGAACCACCUAUCAGCGUAUGCAACGUACAAACUGUAUAAUUCUUUCGAGCAAGAUUACACCGAGGCAAGUUUCACAUUCAGGAGAUAAUACCAGUCUCGUGUUUGAGAUCUAAAAGUAAACGUAAUCGAACAACAACUUGUCGGUGUGUGCAAUGCGCGAGCCGGGUAAUUCUUUCGAGCAACGUUUACGAACCUACAUUACUCACGACACUUUUUUAUAAUUUCAUAUGUUUUGUAUAAUUUUUAGAAUAAUUUCACAUAUGUUCUAGUAUUUAACCGUUUAGCCUAUUCAUUUUCCCUGGUAUUUAAUUUUCUCAAGUAUUCAAUUCACUGAUCCUGAAUUCAAAUCUAUUGUUAUCGUCGCCUCAAUUUUGGAAUUAUACCUUUUGGUUCCUUACUGAAAAGUAAUCGUCUGGUGCGAUUAAAAAUUGUAUGGAAUACAGUAAUAUGGAAAGCACAGAAAAAAUAUUCAUAGUGUGUAAUGAGUGGUUGUUGAAUUGUAUUAAAUUACGAUUAUUCAAUCGUUCCUUGGGAGCGUGCAUAAAAGUUUGUUUAGUCUGCGAGGCGAUUGUCACCUUGGUGCGAGAAGUUUCCGCAGCUGUCGUCGAGAAAUUUCCGGACAAUCUCGAAACUAGCAUCGAGUAACGAGCCAAUCUCGAAAAUCGACGAUGACAUCAUGCCAGCAGUAUUGCGACCAAAAUAAAUAUACCAUACAUCGACAUUCUCCCACUUUCUUGUCUUCUACCACAUCUGAAGCCACAAUUUUUCUUUGGCGUACGAAUCUAUCGGAGGCAUUUUCGACCGUGUCGUUCCCAUCUUUGCAAACGGUUAAAUAGGAAAAAAGAUCGAUCGAAGGAGCUUUGAAA
This is a long non-coding RNA of Hylaeus volcanicus, 2560 nucleotides long. RefSeq lists it as uncharacterized. Lineage: Eukaryota; Metazoa; Arthropoda; Insecta; Hymenoptera; Colletidae. The record is from RefSeq and is a predicted model, not a curated record. The transcript has 3 exons.